RNAcentral lists this ribosomal RNA (452 nucleotides) under uncultured bacterium. RNAcentral's name for it is "partial 16S ribosomal RNA". It matches the Rfam family "Bacterial small subunit ribosomal RNA", at positions 28 to 523 of the family's 1533-position model. The record is from RNAcentral.
GAUGAACGCUGGCGGCGUGCCUAAUAUAUGCAAGUCGAGCGGUAACACUUCGGGUGACGAGCGGCGGACGGCUGAGUAACACGUAGGAACGUACCCCAAACUGAGGGAUAAGCACCGGAAACGGUGUCUAAUACCGCAUGUGGUCUUCGGAUUAAAGCUUCGGCGGUUUGGGAACGGCCUGCGCAUGAUUAGCUUGUUGGUGAGGUAAUAGCUCACCAAGGCGACGAUCAUUAGCUGGUCUAAGAGGAUGAUCAGCCAGACUGGGACUGAGAACGGCCCAGACUCCUACGGGAGGCAGCAGUAGGGAAUCUUCCACAAUGGGCGAAAGCCUGAUGGAGCAACGCCGCGUGCAGGAUGAAGGCCUUCGGGUCGUAAACUGCUUUUAUUGGUGACGAUUAUGACGGUAGCCAAUGAAUAAGGAUCGGCUAACUCCGUGCCAGCAGCCGCCGCCG